CGGGAGGCAGCAGUGAGGAAUAUUGGUCAAUGGUCGGCAGACUGAACCAGCCAAGUCGCGUGAGGGAAGACGGCCCUACGGGUUGUAAACCUCUUUUGUCGGAGAGUAAAGUACGCUACGCGUAGCGUAUUGCAAGUAUCCGAAGAAAAAGCAUCGGCUAACUCCGUGCCAGCAGCCGCGGUAAUACGGAGGAUGCGAGCGUUAUCCGGAUUUAUUGGGUUUAAAGGGUGCGUAGGCGGCACGCCAAGUCAGCGGUGAAAUUUCCGGGCUCAACCCGGAGUGUGCCGUUGAAACUGGCGAGCUAGAGUGCACAAGAGGCAGGCGGAAUGCGUGGUGUAGCGGUGAAAUGCAUAGAUAUCACGCAGAACCCCGAUUGCGAAGGCAGCCUGCUAGGGUGCGACAGACGCUGAGGCACGAAAGCGUGGGUAUCGAACAGGAUUAGAUACCCUGGUAGUCCACGCAGUAAACGAUGAAUACUAACUGUUUGCGAUACAAUGUAAGCGGUA
RNAcentral lists this ribosomal RNA (506 nucleotides) under uncultured bacterium. Its description in RNAcentral is "bacterial SSU rRNA". It matches the Rfam family "Bacterial small subunit ribosomal RNA", at positions 342 to 848 of the family's 1533-position model. The record is from RNAcentral.